ACCCCCCCUCUCCCCCCCCCUUGUUUGUUUUUUUUGUUCUGAGCGCCCACCACACACCCCCGCCCGAGAGUGAUCGCCCACUCUUGGGGUUUAGACCGGCCCAUACCCCUCCGGGGGACAGCAAUGAGGGACUCUUUCCCCAAAGGAGCGGAAAUCUGCCCGCGCCCCCCCCCCGAGAGAAGAGGAGUUUUUUUCUUCUUAAAAACUCCCCUUUUAGAGAAAAAACGAGUGUGAGAGUGGAGCGUUUUCACUGUGGGGGUAUUUUUCCAGAAAGGGGGCCGCUCUCUACGUGCCAGCAGCGCGCGGUAAAUCUUGGGGUGGCAAGCGUUCUCCCGAUUUUUUUGGGCGAAAAAGAGAAGGGAAGGGGUUUUUUAAAAUUUUAUGUGAAAACCUUCCGCUUCCCCAGAGAAGUGCAUCGAACGCCGGAUAUCUUGAGUGCAGAAGAGGGGUGUGGAUCUCCAUGUGUAGCGGUGGAAUGCGUAUAUAUAUGGAAGAACCCCAGUGGCGAAGGCGGCUACCUUGUCUGCAACUGACGCUGAGUCUCGAAAGCAUGUGUAGCGCACAGG
This 566-nucleotide ribosomal RNA is filed under the name uncultured Actinomyces sp. RNAcentral describes it as "partial 16S ribosomal RNA". It matches the Rfam family "Bacterial small subunit ribosomal RNA", at positions 295 to 776 of the family's 1533-position model. Lineage: Bacteria; Bacillati; Actinomycetota; Actinomycetes; Actinomycetales; Actinomycetaceae. The record is from RNAcentral.